GGAAUGGAGGAUACAGAGAGAGAGAGAGGGUGGAGGGAACGGUAGAGAGGGAAUGGAGGAUACAGAGAGAGAGAGAGGAUGGAGGGAACGGUAGAGGGAAUGGAGGAUAGAGAGAGAGAGAGAGAGCGAGAGAGAGGAUGAGGGAAAGGUAGAGGGAAUGGAGGGUAGAGAGAGAGAGAGAGAGGAUGGAGGGAACGGUAGAGGGAAUGGAGGAUAGAGAGAGAGAGAGGAUGGAGGGAAUGGUAGAGAGGGAAUGGAGGAUAGAGAGAGAGAGAGAGAGAGAGAGAGGAUGGAGGGAACGGUAGAGAGGGAACGGAGGAGAGCGAGCGAGCGAGAGGAUGGAGGAGAGAUAGAGAGGAUGGAGGAAACGGUAAAGAGGGAAUGGAGGAGAGAGAGAGAGAGAGCGAGAG
Molecule: long non-coding RNA, 410 nt
Organism: Oncorhynchus tshawytscha (Chinook salmon)
Lineage: Eukaryota; Metazoa; Chordata; Actinopteri; Salmoniformes; Salmonidae
Source: Ensembl